GGGGAAUCUUAGACAAUGGGCGCAAGCCUGAUCUAGCCAUGCCGCGUGAGCGAUGAAGGCCUUAGGGUUGUAAAGCCCUUUCGUGGGGGAAGAUAAUGACUGUACCCCAAGAAGAAGCCCCGGCUAACUCCGUGCCAGCAGCCGCGGUAAUACGGAGGGGGCUAGCGUUGUUCGGAAUUACUGGGCGUAAAGCGCACGUAGGCGGACCGGAAAGUCAGAGGUGAAAUCCCAGGGCUCAACCUUGGAACUGCCUUUGAAACUCACGGUCUUGAGUUCGAGAGAGGUGAGUGGAAUUCCGAGUGUAGAGGUGAAAUUCGUAGAUAUUCGGAGGAACACCAGUGGCGAAGGCGGCUCACUGGCUCGAUACUGACGCUGAGGGGCGAAAGCGUGGGGAGCAAAC
This 400-nucleotide ribosomal RNA is filed under the name uncultured bacterium. Its description in RNAcentral is "bacterial SSU rRNA". It matches the Rfam family "Bacterial small subunit ribosomal RNA", at positions 356 to 773 of the family's 1533-position model. The record is from RNAcentral.